This 253-nucleotide ribosomal RNA is filed under the name uncultured bacterium. RNAcentral's name for it is "partial 16S ribosomal RNA". It matches the Rfam family "Bacterial small subunit ribosomal RNA", at positions 524 to 776 of the family's 1533-position model. The record is from RNAcentral.
UACGUAGGUGGCAAGCGUUAUCCGGAAUUAUUGGGCGUAAAGAGCGCGCAGGUGGUUAAUUAAGUCUGAUGUGAAAGUCCACGGCUUAACCGUGGAGGGUCAUUGGAAACUGGUUGACUUGAGUGCAGAAGAGGGAAGUGGAAUUCCAUGUGUAGCGGUGAAAUGCGUAGAGAUAUGGAGGAACACCAGUGGCGAAGGCGGCUUCCUGGUCUGCAACUGACACUGAGGCGCGAAAGCGUGGGGAGCAAACAGG